ACGAACGCUGGCGGCGUGCUUAAUACAUGCAAGUCAACUGAACUUAAGGUAGUAAUACUUUAAGGGAGGUGGCGCACGGGUGAGUAACACGUAGGUAAUCUGCCUUUAGGUCUGACAUAACCCCGAGAAAUCGGGGCGUAAUUUCUAGAUGAUGCAGCGGCUCGACAUCGAGACAGUUGUUAAAUUCUUCGGAGCCUAAAGAUGAGCCUGCGUCUGAUUAGGUAGUUGGCGGAGUAAAAGCCCACCAAGCCUUCGAUCAGUAGCUGGUCUGAGAGGAUGAUCAGCCACACUGGAACUGAGACACGGUCCAGACUCCUAC
Molecule: ribosomal RNA, 319 nt
Filed under: uncultured bacterium
Lineage: Bacteria
Description: bacterial SSU rRNA
Rfam family: Bacterial small subunit ribosomal RNA
Source: RNAcentral